AUACGUAGGUGGCAAGCGUUAUCCGGAUUUACUGGGCGUAAAGGGCGUGUAGGCGGUCUUGCAAGUCAGAAGUGAAAUUCCUGAGCUCAACUCGGGCGCUGCUUCUGAAACUGCAGGACUUGAGUGCUGGAGGGGUUAGCGGAAUUCCUAGUGGAGCGGUAAAAUGCGCAGAUAUUAGGAAGAACACCGGUGGCGAAGGCGGCUAUCUGGACAGUAACUGACGCUGAGGCGCGAAAGCGUGGGGAGCAAACAGGAUUAGAUACCCCGGUAGUCCUAGCCGUAAACGAUGGAUACUAGGUGUGGGUGUCGCAGGGCAUCCGUGCCGCAGUUAACGCGUUAAGUAUCCCGCCUGGGGACUACGGUCGCAAGACUGAAACUCAAAUGAAUUGACGGGG
Molecule: ribosomal RNA, 395 nt
Filed under: uncultured bacterium
Lineage: Bacteria
Description: partial 16S ribosomal RNA
Rfam family: Bacterial small subunit ribosomal RNA
Source: RNAcentral